CAACUCGCCUACAUGAAGCCGGAAUCGCUAGUAAUCGUGGAUCAGCAUGCCACGGUGAAUACGUUCCCGGGCCUUGUACACACCGCCCGUCACACCACGAGAGGUUGUAACACCCGAAGUCGGUAGGGUAACCUUUAUGGAGCCAGCCGCCGAAGGUGGGACAGAUAAUUGGGGUGAAGUCGUAACAAGGUAGCCGUAUCGGAAGGUGCGGCUGGAUCACCUCCUUUCUAAGGAA
This 235-nucleotide ribosomal RNA is filed under the name Listeria monocytogenes. Its description in RNAcentral is "partial 16S ribosomal RNA". It matches the Rfam family "Bacterial small subunit ribosomal RNA", at positions 1308 to 1533 of the family's 1533-position model. Lineage: Bacteria; Bacillati; Bacillota; Bacilli; Caryophanales; Listeriaceae. The record is from RNAcentral.